Molecule: ribosomal RNA, 768 nt
Filed under: uncultured Bacillota bacterium
Lineage: Bacteria; Bacillati; Bacillota
Description: bacterial SSU rRNA
Rfam family: Bacterial small subunit ribosomal RNA
Source: RNAcentral
AGGGGGUUUNNCAAUCAUGGCUCAGGACGAACGCUGGCGGCGUGCCUAAUACAUGCAAGUCGAGCGGACUUGACAGAGCUUGCUCUGUUCAAGUUAGCGGCGGACGGGUGAGUAACACGUGGGCAACCUGCCCUGCAGAUUGGGAUAACUCCGGGAAACCGGGGCUAAUACCGAAUAACACAAAAGACCUCAUGGUCUUUUGUUGAAAGGCGGCUUCGGCUGCUACUGCAGGAUGGGCCCGCGGCGCAUUAGCUAGUUGGUGAAGUAACGGCUCACCAAGGCAACGAUGCGUAGCCGACCUGAGAGGGUGAUCGGCCACACUGGGACUGAGACACGGCCCAGACUCCUACGGGAGGCAGCAGUAGGGAAUCUUCCGCAAUGGACGAAAGUCUGACGGAGCAACGCCGCGUGAGUGAAGAAGGUUUUCGGAUCGUAAAACUCUGUUGUCAGGGAAGAACAAGUGCUGGAGUAACUGCCGGCACCUUGACGGUACCUGGCCAGAAAGCCACGGCUAACUACGUGCCAGCAGCCGCGGUAAUACGUAGGUGGCAAGCGUUGUCCGGAAUUAUUGGGCGUAAAGCGCGCGCAGGCGGUCUUUUAGUCUGAUGUGAAAGCCCACGGCUCAACCGUGGGAGGGUCAUUGGAAACUGGAAGACUUGAGUGCAGAAGAGAAGAGCGGAAUUCCACGUGUAGCGGGUGAAAUGCGUAAAGAUGUGGAGGAACACCAGUGGCGAAGGCGGCUCUUNGGUCUGUAACUGACGCUGAGGC